Molecule: RNA transcript, 5315 nt
Organism: Serinus canaria (Common canary)
Lineage: Eukaryota; Metazoa; Chordata; Aves; Passeriformes; Fringillidae
Exons: 4
Source: RefSeq, a predicted model, not a curated record
CUUAUCGGCUCCAGGCGCUGCUGGAGCGAGCGAGAGGGAAGGCGGCAAUGCGAAAGAAAGCUGGAGGGAGGGCUGAAAGGGGGCAGAGAGACGGCGGAAAAUGGAGCGUAGCCCAGAAGAGGGGAUUGAAGCACCAAGCUAUUGCAAAUUAGAGUCUAAGUAGUAACUGCAACUUGAGAAGAAUGGAACCAUAAUUCAUCUAGAUUGUGAUAGCUCCAGAGUGUGGUAUUUCUCUGCUGUCUUGAUCCUAUUUCUCAAAGAAAGAAUUUAUGCUUCACUUGAAUCUUGUCCAUUUUGCAAACCUGGAGGUGUGGUCCAGAGGAUUUUCCCACAGAGCAAAGAGAGACAUUUACAAUACUAUUUGAUCUUCAUGUCAAGAGAAAGAAAAGAAGGCAGAAGAAUUGACAGCUUGAUCCUUGUCUUCUUAUGAAACCCCAGCUUUUAGAUUUUGACCUCUUCUAGCAGUGCUACUCUAAUAGCAGAUACGUAAUAGGUCUUGUUUGGACUUGAGCUUGAUUGUAACCCUCACAUCCAAAGAUCUAGAUAGAGUACCAGGCAUACUUCACAGCAGACUUUUGAACACUGGAAGACAAGUAGCUGUGACUCUGCUGAUCCAAAGAUUGUCAGCCCAGUCAUAAAAACAGUACAGAUAUUAUCAAACCGGACAAAAAAAAACCCCUGAUAAGUGCUUCUACAUGACUCUUGAAACCCACUGUAGAUAGUCCAGUACUUCUGUGCAGAAUUAGCUUCUAUCAUAAAAAUCUUAUUAAUUCAGGUGAAUUGAUUAGAACCUUGCCAGUAGAGCACAGUGGAGAUCCACUGGUAAACCAGUGGAGACUGGUUGAAGACUUCUCUGAAAACUACCUUGUAAGACCUAUCUAAGAGAACAAGUUUUGAGGAUGCUAAGGUCUCUUUGUCUUGACACAGAGACGUAGGUUCACUUAACAUUAGUAGAAAUACUUAGCAGUAAUAAAAUCUAGAUCUCCCAUAAUGACAUAUUCUCAAGCUUGAAAAUUUUUUUUCAAAUUUCUUGGUAUUUCAUGCAUGUCCUCCUCCAUUGUAAAAUUACUCUAAGAACAGCAACAGCUCUGCAUUUUCUUGCUUUGCAUCUUCAGAGAGUCUUUGAUGAAAGCUGUUAUAUAGGCAUAAAUGUAGCUGUCUGUUUGUUCUAGUAAAAGCAGGGAAUCAAAUUGAAGUCUUUUGCACUGUCUUGCAGACCACUAACCACAGUAAAGAUACUUGGCUGGCCUAGAAGUAACAUGUGAUACUGCAGUCAUAUCCAGACUGGGGAUUUUUUAAAAUUAUUAUAUCCUCAGGAAGCAAUAAUUUUAGAACUGAGGGCAGGAUGAUUGUUUUGUUUUCUUGUAAAUCUUUCAAUAUGCUAAUUUUGAUUACAGUAUGAAAUUAGAGAUCUGUCCAUUUUAUAUCACAGACACAAAUUAGAAAUUUGUGAACCUUAAAGGACUGUCUGUUAAUAGAAAACUAUUUUUUUGCAUAAAACAAAUAGUGGUUUAUGGAAAUUUUGUGUUAAUAAUAAAAGUCAAACAGCAGGAUCAGACCUCUUUAAGGCAAAGGAUACCCAAAGAUACAAGCAUUUGCAAAGCUGCAAAGCUUUGAAGUAUAGUAGAUGAAAUUAAUUUGUCUCAUAUAAACAGUACUAGGUAUCUGAAUUUUUCUUUUAAAAACUGCUUAGCAUAUAAAAUUGGCUAUAAUAUCCUUUGUUAAUAGAGAGGCUCAAGAAUAAAUGCUUUCAAGUCAUGCAGGGAACCUAAACAAACUCUGCACAAAGGGAAGCUUGGUUCGGUAGAACAAACCUGUUAGGUAGGUCAAGAGUAUUAAAUAAAUUCUCCUUCUUCUUUAAAGCAGAACUCAGGCACCAGGGCAUACAAGGAAUGGGCAUACAAGGAAUGGGCAUACUUCAUCCCUGCUUGGAAAUUUGUGAUGGUGUUCAUGUAUCUCUAGAACUUCCCUCAAUCAUCUGUCAUUAAUAUCAGUUCUACUGGCAGUCAGGUUUCCAUGCUGAGAGCUAGGAAGGAAAAUAUUUAUGAUGAAAGAGACAUACAGCUGCUAUUACUGAUCCUGAAGAGUUUAUUUUGGACAGCUUAGAUUAUGACUUUCUUUUAUUUUUUCUCACUUUUGGGUAAAGUCUUGGGUGUGUGCUUGAAAAAACAAGCGUCCAGUGAGGGUAGAGAAUGCCCAGUUAUUAUCUAUUCCGCCUGCUGUUUAGGCAAUGUAGUAUAGGUGGGAUAAACAGCAAGAUUGAAAACAAUGUUACUGUGUUUUUUAUUGUGACUUUAGACAAAUAGGCAUAUUUUCUUUGAUUUCCACAAAAUCUUUAGUGUAAGGCUCUUUAGUCAGGCAUGAUGUAGGGCACUACCUUGAAAUUCCAAACAAGUCAAUCUAUAUUUUAAAACAAAUUGCAGACAUUUGCUACAUAUUUUGACUGUCUUAGUUUUUGUGGUAUUUUAAAAUAAAUUCUGCCUUCGAUUUCCCUAAAUAACAUUGAUAUAAGGUCAAAAAAGUGGAAAUUGAUAAUAUUCAACAUUUUUUGGAAAAGUGCAUGAAAGUACCUGCUUUCAGUUCUCUGAGAAUGAGCUAUUAGCCCAUCUCAGGACGUAGUUUACUACUCAGGCACUUCAGGGAAGUUAAUGUUGAUAUUGUUGAUAUUAUGUUGAUCAACCACAAAAAGUGGUUGAUCAACCAUUGAAAGUGUAUAAAAGUAUAUUGAUGUUUAAAGAACACCUGUGUACACCACUGAACUCUCAAUACUUAGGAACACUGACAGCUGUCCUUCUAGACAGCUUAAAUGACUCAGGCACUUAGUUUCAUCCUUCAGCAGUUUCCUUGGUAAGUGUGGAAUUGUUCAGAAUUAUUUGUCCCAAUGUAUUUUGUUUCCAGUACUGAUCUAGUACUUCCCAGUGACUUAUUUAAUGAUGCACUUUCUCUCCUGGUUCUAGAUGGGUCAUUUCCUCCUGUUUUCCUUGGCUUCUGCUUUUCCAGUCACCAUAGGCAGCUGUAUUCUCAAAUUCCCUGCACUUCUCUUGCUAUGUUAGGUGGAAUGAUCUCCAAAAACUAGUAGUAUUGAGAACAACUUCUCUUACAACCCUCAAGCCACAUAUCUUUCUCUCUCCUCCCUUCUAUUCUGAGAUACAAUUUCUUCAAUUAAUUAAAAAUAAGGAAGAAAAUGGAGUAUUUAGACUAAAGAAAAUAAAUAUGGAAAUAUAUAAUUUACUACAUUCAUUUUCCACAUAAUUUAUAUAACAUAUAUGACAUUAGCAAAUAUACUCCUUACCUUGGAAUGCCUUUUAUUAGUAGGAAGUAUGUCUUCUGGAUCAAAGAUACCAUCAAUUGAACAUAUAUUAUAAAUUCUUUGUAUCAACAAAAUACUUCUCAAGAUGGCACUUGUUUUUAUUGAAAAAUAUUUUUUUUACUACUAGAGAUAAAAAUCUGAAAAUACUAGAAGCUGUUACUCUAGAGGAAUAAUGUCUGUUGGGGCACUCACAGGGAUUCUUCAGAGAAUUUGGUUCAAUUCUGUUUCCUACUCUUUUUUGUGUGACCUAAGCAAAUGCAGCUCUUUGUAGUUCAGUUCCACCUGUGUCAAAUGGGUAUUACAAGAAGUUUCCAACUUACAGGCAUAGAUGUAUGGUCAGAUAAAGUUAGGAGAUUAAGACAGCGAUCAUUACUAACACUCUACCGGGAUGUAGAAGCUUUUGACAAAACAAAAAACUUUUCCUCUGUAUAAAAUACCAAGCUAUCUUGAGAUUGUGGAAUUCUGUGCAAAACUUAAUGAUUUCUGCUUCAAAUACAAGGUACAUUUCCUAUCUUUGUUAUAUCUCCUGUAAACAUACAGGAGGGAAAAAAUUUUUAAAAGUUCUAGAAAUAUCCAAAACACUCCAAUUUACGCACUUCUGCUGUUAGGAGGAGCACAGCAAAGAUACAAAUUGUGUGGCAAAGGCACUGCUGAGAUGCAAUGGUGAGAGGAGUAAGGAAAAAGCUCAGUGUACAGAAUGCAUUUAAUGUAUCAUGGCAAAGGCAGGCCAGUGGAGAUUAUGAUGCAAUGCAAACUAAUCAUGCUGGUCAUAAAGGAAAAUAAAUCUGAUGUCUAAAGCAUACAAGGAAGUGUAAGAGCUUGCAGGGCAAAGCAAACAGGAAUAGACAACAGAAGAGGAUGUACAGUCUCUUGCUUCUUCCUACCUUUCUUUUUCAUGUAAUUUUUCCAAGUAAAAGGAAAAAUCUGAUCACUUUAUUUCUAUCAUAGUAACUUAAUCCUUUUCCACAAUGCAACUUACACAUUUUCUUUCCUGGUUUGAGGCAUUUAUUUAACUGUCUUUCAAAUCUUCUGCAGAGGCUUUUACAGUAUGUCUUGUUUUUCCCUGUAAUAUUAUUUGCUUGCCCUCAGACAUCUUUUUUACCUUUUCUUCCAAGCCAAUCUUUGAUGCUUUUAAAUUUCAUUUACACUUAGAUCUUUAUGUUGAAGAAAUAUUUCCCCUAAAAUUUUACCACUAUCAAAAAGUAUACUAAAUACAACAUAGAUACUAGGCAAAAGCAAUUGAAUUAUUUUGCAUUGAUGAACUAGCAUGCGCAAUGCUACAAGUUGCAUCAUGUAGUAAAAUAAAAUGGUCAUGAUGUCUAAGAAAGUUUUUCAUUUUCUGUGUGGAUGCUUUUCUUCAUUCCCUAAAAAGAAUGCAAAAAAAAAAAAAAAAACCCUAUUUAAAUCAAACCAGGAAAUAUUUGCCUUUCCAGAGUUUGGGAGCAAAAAAGGCUCCCAAUCAAUUUGCUAUCUACUCUAGGUCCAUUUCCUUUAUAUUACUUCAGAAUAUGACCAGUGAUCAAAAGACUUCGGAACAACAGAAAGGUUUAUAAAAACUCCCUCCCUCCCUUCCUCCCUUCCAGUAUAAAGGUGUUCAAUUUAGGGGAAAAUCUGCAAGGUAGCAGAUUACAAGUGGUUGGAGAAAUAUGGAUAGAAAAGCAGAAAAUCUGAAGCAAAUGACAUGACAAAUUUCAAUGGGGAUGUAGAAGAGAAGAUGAAUCCAUCAGGAAUAAUGUCACGUGGCACAAAUAGACAGAAGUCAGAGAGAAGAGAGAGGCAUUUAGUUAACUGCUGAGAGACUGAUACUAGCAGAAAAAAAGAUCAUGUUAGGAUUACUUGUAGGGUCACUGAUUAUGGAAAACAUUUGGAGAGAAUCCACAUGCUGAAACAUUUAGUCUGCUAGAAGUCCUAGAAAUUUUUAGUCUAUGUUUCAAAGAAGCCAUUUUCAUAGAUUUUAUGUACCCAUUAAAUAUCAGAGGAAAGAUAACAUGAAGAGACCAAAGAG